AGCAGCCGCGGUAAUUCCAGCUCCAAUAGCGUAUAUUAAAGUUGUUGCAGUUAAAAAGCUCGUAGUUGAAUUUCGGGAUUUGCAUAUCGGUCGUGCCUUAAGGGGUAUGAACUGGUGUAGUGAAUUUCUCACCUUCUGGAGAACCGUGAUGUCCUUAAUUGGGUGCCACGAGGAACCAGGACCUUUACUUUGAAAAAAUUAGAGUGUUUAAAGCAGGCAUUUUUGCUUGAAUACAUUAGCAUGGAAUAAUAAAAUAGGACGGCAUGAUUCUAUUUUGUUGGUUUCUAGGAUCACCGUAAUGAUUAAUAGGGAUAGUUGGGGGCAUUAGUAUUCAAUUGUCAGAGGUGAAAUUCUUGGAUUUAUUGAAGACUAACUACUGCGAAAGCAUUUGCCAAGGAUGUUUUCAUUAAUCAAGAACGAAAGUUAGGGGAUCGAAGACGAUCAGAUACCGUCGUAGUCUUAACCAUAAACUAUGCCGACUAGGAAUCAGACGAUGUUAAUUUUUUAAUGACUCGUUUUGCACCUUACG
This 529-nucleotide ribosomal RNA is filed under the name uncultured Glomeromycotina. RNAcentral's name for it is "SSU rRNA". It matches the Rfam family "Eukaryotic small subunit ribosomal RNA", at positions 569 to 1092 of the family's 1831-position model. The record is from RNAcentral. Lineage: Eukaryota; Fungi; Glomeromycota.